RNAcentral lists this ribosomal RNA (253 nucleotides) under uncultured bacterium. RNAcentral describes it as "partial 16S ribosomal RNA". It matches the Rfam family "Bacterial small subunit ribosomal RNA", at positions 524 to 776 of the family's 1533-position model. The record is from RNAcentral.
UACGGAGGGGGCUAGCGUUGUUCGGAAUUACUGGGCGUAAAGCGCGCGUAGGCGGCUUUGUAAGUUAGAGGUGAAAGCCCGGAGCUUAACUCCGGAACUGCCUUUAAGACUGCAUCGCUAGAAUCGUGGAGAGGUGAGUGGAAUUCCGAGUGUAGCGGUGAAAUGCGUAGAUAUUGGGAGGAACACCAGUGGCGAAGGCGGCUCACUGGACCGGAACUGACGCUGAUGCGCGAAAGCGUGGGGAGCAAACAGG